This 253-nucleotide ribosomal RNA is filed under the name uncultured bacterium. Its description in RNAcentral is "partial 16S ribosomal RNA". It matches the Rfam family "Bacterial small subunit ribosomal RNA", at positions 524 to 776 of the family's 1533-position model. The record is from RNAcentral.
UACGUAGGCAGCGAGCGUUGUUCGGAGUUACUGGGCGUAAAGGGUGUGUAGGCGGUUUUCUAAGUUUGGUGUGAAAUCUCCCGGCUCAACCGGGAGGGUGCGCCGAAAACUGGGAGACUAGAGUGCGGGAUGGGAGAGUAGAAUUCCUGGUGUAGCGGUGAAAUGCGCAGAUAUCAGGAAGAACACCCGUGGCUAAGGCGGCUCUCUAGUACGGUACUGACGCUGAGACGCGAAAGCGUGGGGAGCGAACAGG